GGGACUGUAGCUCAGCAGGUCAGAGUGCCAUGUUGACAUCGUGGAGGUCAUCAGUUCGAAUCUGAUCAGUCCCA
This 74-nucleotide transfer RNA is filed under the name Dialister micraerophilus DSM 19965. It matches the Rfam family "tRNA". Rfam says of the family: Transfer RNA (tRNA) molecules are approximately 80 nucleotides in length. Their secondary structure includes four short double-helical elements and three loops (D, anti-codon, and T loops). The record is from Rfam by way of RNAcentral. Lineage: Bacteria; Bacillati; Bacillota; Negativicutes; Veillonellales; Veillonellaceae.